UGCUGCUUACACAAAUGCAGAGGUCUUCCUUACAGAUGGGAAAUUGAUUUUAAGAGUUAAGCCCAUAGUUAAAAAUUCCCUCAAUUGUUAAGUCACCAAGUUUAGCUUUUAAAAAUAGUAUGUUGUAAAUAUUACCACUAAUUGGCCUACAUGAGUUCUGAAGUCUCCCAAAUCUUGUCUAUGAUUCCAUCAAAUGGCUCAUUUAUGUGCAUAUGCACAUUUCUUCAUAUAAUAAAAUUCCUAACAAACUAAUAUAGAGUCCUUGUCUUGGAUAAAAACUUCAACCACUACUCUCCUUUGUUUGAAAUAACCUGUUCUUUUGUGUCAUUUUGAGCAGCAUGUCUACAGAAUGUGGGAGAUUAAGUGUGAAGUUAUGUUCAGGAGAU
RNAcentral lists this long non-coding RNA (386 nucleotides) under Bos taurus (domestic cattle). RNAcentral's name for it is "long non-coding RNA NONBTAT025560". The record is from RNAcentral. Lineage: Eukaryota; Metazoa; Chordata; Mammalia; Artiodactyla; Bovidae.